This 840-nucleotide ribosomal RNA is filed under the name Pedobacter sp. AKB-2008-JO45. RNAcentral describes it as "bacterial SSU rRNA". It matches the Rfam family "Bacterial small subunit ribosomal RNA", at positions 18 to 860 of the family's 1533-position model. Lineage: Bacteria; Pseudomonadati; Bacteroidota; Sphingobacteriia; Sphingobacteriales; Sphingobacteriaceae. The record is from RNAcentral.
CCUGGCUCAGGAUGAACGCUAGCGGCAGGCCUAAUACAUGCAAGUCGAGGGGUAGAGUGAGCUUGCUUGCUUGAGACCGGCGCACGGGUGCGUAACGCGUAUGCAACCUACCUUUAUCUGGGGGAUAGCCCGGAGAAAUCCGGAUUAAUACCGCAUAAAAUCACAGUACUGCAUAGUACAAUGAUCAAACAUUUAUGGGAUGAAGAUGGGCAUGCGUGUCAUUAGCUAGUUGGCGGGGUAAUGGCCCACCAAGGCGACGAUGACUAGGGGAUCUGAGAGGAUGACCCCCCACACUGGUACUGAGACACGGACCAGACUCCUACGGGAGGCAGCAGUAAGGAAUAUUGGUCAAUGGAGGCAACUCUGAACCAGCCAUGCCGCGUGCAGGAAGACUGCCCUAUGGGUUGUAAACUGCUUUUAUCCGGGAAUAAACCUAAAUACGUGUAUUUAGCUGAAUGUACCGGAAGAAUAAGGAUCGGCUAACUCCGUGCCAGCAGCCGCGGUAAUACGGAGGAUCCAAGCGUUAUCCGGAUUUAUUGGGUUUAAAGGGUGCGUAGGCGGCCUGUUAAGUCAGGGGUGAAAGACGGUAGCUCAACUAUCGCAGUGCCCUUGAUACUGAUGGGCUUGAAUGGACUAGAGGUAGGCGGAAUGAGACAAGUAGCGGUGAAAUGCAUAGAUAUGUCUCAGAACACCGAUUGCGAAGGCAGCUUACUAUGGUUUAAUUGACGCUGAGGCACGAAAGCGUGGGGAUCAAACAGGAUUAGAUACCCUGGUAGUCCACGCCCUAAACGAUGAACACUCGCUGUUGGCGAUACACAGUCAGCGGCUAAGCGAAAGCGU